AUGAACGCUGGCGGCGUGCCUAAUACAUGCAAGUCGAGCGAACAGAUGAGGAGCUUGCUCCUCUGACGUUAGCGGCGGACGGGUGAGUAACACGUGGAUAACCUACCUAUAAGACUGGGAUAACUUCGGGAAACCGGAGCUAAUACCGGAUAAUAUAUUGAACCGCAUGGUUCAAUAGUGAAAGACGGUUUUGCUGUCACUUAUAGAUGGAUCCGCGCCGCAUUAGCUAGUUGGUAAGGUAGCGGCUUACCAAGGCAACGAUGCGUAGCCGACCUGAGAGGGUGAUCGGCCACACUGGAACUGAGACACGGUCCAGACUCCUACGGGAGGCAGCAGUAGGGAAUCUUCCGCAAUGGGCGAAAGCCUGACGGAGCAACGCCGCGUGAGUGAUGAAGGUCUUCGGAUCGUAAAACUCUGUUAUUAGGGAAGAACAAAUGUGUAAGUAACUAUGCACGUCUUGACGGUACCUAAUCAGAAAGCCACGGCUAACUACGUG
Molecule: ribosomal RNA, 496 nt
Filed under: uncultured bacterium
Lineage: Bacteria
Description: partial 16S ribosomal RNA
Rfam family: Bacterial small subunit ribosomal RNA
Source: RNAcentral